GUGACUGCUGUAACUUGGAUGUGUCUCCCAAAGUUUAUGUGUUGGAAAAGUUUCCAGUGCAACAGUUUUGGAAAGGAGAGUGGUUCAUUUCCAUGCUAAAAUUGAAAUAACAAUAAUGCAAGGAAUCUAAGAUUCCAAGAGCCAAAGAAACUUGCCCAAAUGUCACAGUUAACGAGAGGAAGAACUGGAACUGAAACACAUGUCCUCAGUCUCCAAAUCCUGGGAAGCUUCCGCUGAGCCACACUACCACCCCAACAUAACAACUUCUAAGGGUUUCCUUCAAGCAGGGACUGAACUGAGUAGCCUGUCAGAGAAGCAAUGAUGUCCUUCACAGGAAGGAGUGGAGGACAUGCUCCCCGACACUGGUCUCUGGGGACCGUGUGUGCGCUGCACGUUGCUGCUGUUUUAUUGACCUUGCUGCCAGGCACGCUAUCAGUGGUGGUUGUG
Molecule: long non-coding RNA, 447 nt
Organism: Cebus imitator (Panamanian white-faced capuchin)
Lineage: Eukaryota; Metazoa; Chordata; Mammalia; Primates; Cebidae
Exons: 3
Source: RefSeq, a predicted model, not a curated record